This 497-nucleotide ribosomal RNA is filed under the name uncultured bacterium. Its description in RNAcentral is "partial 16S ribosomal RNA". It matches the Rfam family "Bacterial small subunit ribosomal RNA", at positions 28 to 507 of the family's 1533-position model. The record is from RNAcentral.
GAUGAACGCUGGCGGCGUGCCUAAUACAUGCAAGUCGAGCGAACAGACGAGGAGCUUGCUCCUCUGACGUUAGCGGCGGACGGGUGAGUAACACGUGGAUAACCUACCUAUAAGACUGGGAUAACUUCGGGAAACCGGAGCUAAUACCGGAUAAUAUAUUGAACCGCAUGGUUCAAUAGUGAAAGACGGUUUUGCUGUCACUUAUAGAUGGAUCCGCGCCGCAUUAGCUAGUUGGUAAGGUAACGGCUUACCAAGGCAACGAUGCGUAGCCGACCUGAGAGGGUGAUCGGCCACCCUGGAACUGAGACACGGUCCAGACUCCUACGGGAGGCAGCAGUAGGGAAUCUUCCGCAAUGGGCGAAAGCCUAACGGAGCAACGCCGCGUGAGUGAUGAAGGUCUUCGGAUCGUAAAACUCUGUUAUUAGGGAAGAACAAAUGUGUAAGUAACUAUGCACGUCUUGACGGUACCUAAUCAGAAAGCCACGGCUAACUACGUG